This 434-nucleotide ribosomal RNA is filed under the name uncultured Pseudobutyrivibrio sp. RNAcentral describes it as "partial 16S ribosomal RNA". It matches the Rfam family "Bacterial small subunit ribosomal RNA", at positions 341 to 792 of the family's 1533-position model. The record is from RNAcentral. Lineage: Bacteria; Bacillati; Bacillota; Clostridia; Lachnospirales; Lachnospiraceae.
ACGGGAGGCAGCAGUGGGGAAUAUUGCACAAUGGGCGCAAGCCUGAUGCAGCGACGCCGCGUGAGCGAAGAAGUAUUUCGGUAUGUAAAGCUCUAUCAGCAGGGAAGAUAAUGACGGUACCUGACUAAGAAGCACCGGCUAAAUACGUGCCAGCAGCCGCGGUAAUACGUAUGGUGCAAGCGUUAUCCGGAUUUACUGGGUGUAAAGGGGGCGUAGGCGGUUUUACAAGUCUGAUGUGAAAGCCCGGGGCUCAACUCCGGUAUUGCAUUGGAAACUGUAGAACUAGAGUGUCGGAGGGGUAAGUGGAAUUCCUAGUGUAGCGGUGAAAUGCGUAGAUAUUAGGAGGAACACCAGUGGCGAAGGCGGCUUACUGGACGAUUACUGACGCUGAGGCUCGAAAGCGUGGGGAGCAAACAGGAUUAGAUACCCUGGUA